RNAcentral lists this ribosomal RNA (494 nucleotides) under uncultured bacterium. RNAcentral describes it as "partial 16S ribosomal RNA". It matches the Rfam family "Bacterial small subunit ribosomal RNA", at positions 28 to 507 of the family's 1533-position model. The record is from RNAcentral.
GACGAACGCUGGCGGCGUGCUUAACACAUGCGAGUCGAACGGAAAGGCCUGCUUUCCCUUGUGGAUUGCGGGUACUCGAGUGGCGAACGGGUGAGUAACACGUGAGUGAUCUGCCCCCAACUUGGGUAUAAGCCUGGGAAACUGGGUCUAAUUCCCGAUAGGACUGCAGGGUGGUGCCUGUGGUGGAAAACGAUUUUCUAGUGGUUGGGGAUGAGCUCGCGGCCUAUCAGCUUGUUGGUGGGGUAAUGGCCUACCAAGGCGGCGACGGGUAGCCGGCCUGAGAGGGUGGACGGCCACAUUGGGACUGAGAUACGGCCCAGACUCCUACGGGAGGCAGCAGUGGGGAAUAUUGCACAAUGGGCGGAAGCCUGAUGCAGCGACGCCGCGUGGGGGAUGACGGCCUUCGGGUUGUAAACUCCUUUUGACCGCGAGGAAGCCACCUGGUUGGAAGGGUGGUGACGGUAGUGGUAGAAGAAGCACCGGCUAACUACGUG